This is a non-coding RNA of Gossypium hirsutum (cotton), 145 nucleotides long. The record is from Rfam. Lineage: Eukaryota; Viridiplantae; Streptophyta; Magnoliopsida; Malvales; Malvaceae.
UGUUAAAAAUUUCAUCCAUUUGUACUGUUAAAAAUUGGCAUGGUUGACAGAACAACAAGACUGUAAUACAUGGCAUGCCAUUUGUACAUCAUGCUGACGUACAAUGACUAGUUUUUAACAGUAGAAAUGGAUGAAAAUUUAAACA